GAUGAACGCUGGCGGCGUGCCUAAUACAUGCAAGUCGAGCGAACAGAUGAGGAGCUUGCUCCUCUGACGUUAGCGGCGGACGGGUGAGUAACACGUGGAUAACCUACCUAUAAGACUGGGAUAACUUCGGGAAACCGGAGCUAAUACCGGAUAAUAUAUUGAACCGCAUGGUUCAAUAGUGAAAGACGGUUUUGCUGUCACUUAUAGAUGGAUCCGCGCCGCAUUAGCUAGUUGGUAAGGUAACGGCUUACCAAGGCAACGAUGCGUAGCCGACCUGAGAGGGUGAUCGGCCACCCUGGAACUGAGACACGGUCCAGACUCCUACGGGAGGCAGCAGUAGGGAAUCUUCCGCAAUGGGCGAAAGCCUGACGGAGCAAAGCCGCGUGAGUGAUGAAGGUCUUCGGAUCGUAAAACUCUGUUAUUAGGGAAGAACAAAUGUGUAAGUAACUAUGCACGUCUUGACGGUACCUAAUCAGAAAGCCACGGCUAACUACGUG
This 497-nucleotide ribosomal RNA is filed under the name uncultured bacterium. Its description in RNAcentral is "partial 16S ribosomal RNA". It matches the Rfam family "Bacterial small subunit ribosomal RNA", at positions 28 to 507 of the family's 1533-position model. The record is from RNAcentral.